RNAcentral lists this ribosomal RNA (254 nucleotides) under uncultured bacterium. RNAcentral's name for it is "partial 16S ribosomal RNA". It matches the Rfam family "Bacterial small subunit ribosomal RNA", at positions 524 to 776 of the family's 1533-position model. The record is from RNAcentral.
UACAGAGGAGCCAAGCGUUGUCCGGAUUGACUGGGCGUAAAGCGCACGCAGGCGGUUGCGCGCGUGGGGUGUGAAAUCUGGCCGCUUAACGGCCAGGCGCCAUCCCAUACGGCGCGACUGGAGUGAUGCAGAGGUCGAUGGAAUUCCUGGUGUAGCGGUGAAAUGCGCAGAUAUCAGGAGGAACACCCGUGGCGAAAGCGGCUCUCUGGGACGGUACUGACGCUGAGACGCGAAAGCCGUGGGGAGCAAACAGG